Molecule: unclassified non-coding RNA, 1202 nt
Filed under: Hevea brasiliensis (rubber tree)
Lineage: Eukaryota; Viridiplantae; Streptophyta; Magnoliopsida; Malpighiales; Euphorbiaceae
Source: RNAcentral
GCUUGGCAUUAACGUUGAAGUUUCCUGCAAUGUCGCAGGAAAGGUCAUAGAGAAGCCGCCUAACUAUUUGUAUAUAUAGAUAGUAAUUACAUUGGAAGGAAAAUUAUAGUCGUAAUAUUGGGAUUAUGUCUCAGUCUGGCUCUAAUUUUGCUGGUACUCCUGACAGCGACUAUGGCGAUCCGACGAACUUUGAGCUCUCAGAAUUCUUGAAGUUUGAUGAGUGGGAGGAAGAUGAUCAAUCAUUUCUGGCUUCUGGUUCUACCCAGAAUCCUGUUUAUCGAGCACAUGUAAUCGGUGAGUCAGGUGGAGCUACCAGCCCUCAUGGAGGGCCUAGUAUCGGUGAGCAAAACGUUGUCACUAAGCAGGAUGCAUGACAGAACUCUAGCCAUAUUAAUAGAUGUUAAUGACUUGAUAAUUGCAUAAUCCUGAAAACUUUUUCAUUAAUUUACUGUUGCAUGUAUAACCUUGGUUACUUGUCUCUCUGUCUGGUAUUGUUUUUACUAGGUGAGGGCAGGGAGAAAAAGGAAGUUAAAGAAAGGGUAGCAUUCAAGACAAAAUCAGAUGUUGAGAUACUAGAUGAUGGGUUCAAGUGGAGGAAGUAUGGCAAGAAGAUGGUCAAGAAUAGCCCAAACCCAAGGUAUAUAAUGAUUUUAUUUUCAUAGUGGUACCCGAUUCAUCAUCAGGGCCAUGAAGUCUCAAAUUCAAAUCUUAAUAAGAAUCAAUCGUAGAAAACACACAUAGCUCCAUCUUUGUGAUGACUAUAUUGUAUGUGAUUAGCAGAAAUUACUAUCGAUGCUCAGUUGAAGGCUGCCCUGUGAAGAAGAGAAUAGAAAGAGAUAGAGAGGAUAUAAGAUAUGUAAUAACAACGUAUGAGGGUAUCCACAAUCACCCAAGUUCUUCUUAAGCAUCAGGUUGCUUUCAGUUCAUUAUUGGGUUUCUGGCCAAAGUCCCGCUAUUUAUCAUUUUCUUAAGAUCAUAUGAUAUUAUAAUUAGUCCUUUUUUCUUGUAGGAGAUUACGAUGUGAAGAUUGAACUCAAAACUUUUAUAUGAUAUUAUAUUUGUGUAUCAAUUAAUUAAUAUAUAUACUUCAAUCAGAUACAGUAUGUAACUAAUUAAUUAGUCUUUAAAGACUAAUUUAGUUCAUGAUAAUUCCACUGCUACCUUCUUUUAAGCCCUCUAAUUAGCUCCAAGGACAACCACAA